GUGGGGAAUCUUAGACAAUGGGCGCAAGCCUGAUCUAGCCAUGCCGCGUGAGCGAUGAAGGCCUUAGGGUUGUAAAGCUCUUUCGCUGGGGAAGAUAAUGACUGUACCCAGUAAAGAAGCCCCGGCUAACUCCGUGCCAGCAGCCGCGGUAAUACGGAGGGGGCUAGCGUUGUUCGGAAUUACUGGGCGUAAAGCGCGCGUAGGCGGAUUGGAAGGUUGGGGGUGAAAUCCCGGGGCUCAACCUCGGAACUGCCUGCAAAACUCCCAGUCUUGAGUUCGAGAGAGGUGAGUGGAAUUCCGAGUGUAGAGGUGAAAUUCGUAGAUAUUCGGAGGAACACCAGUGGCGAAGGCGGCUCACUGGCUCGAUACUGACGCUGAGGUGCGAAAGCGUGGGGAGCAAACAGGAUUAGAUACCCUAGUAGUCC
RNAcentral lists this ribosomal RNA (425 nucleotides) under uncultured bacterium. RNAcentral describes it as "partial 16S ribosomal RNA". It matches the Rfam family "Bacterial small subunit ribosomal RNA", at positions 354 to 796 of the family's 1533-position model. The record is from RNAcentral.